RNAcentral lists this ribosomal RNA (1357 nucleotides) under uncultured marine eukaryote. Its description in RNAcentral is "SSU rRNA". It matches the Rfam family "Eukaryotic small subunit ribosomal RNA", at positions 411 to 1779 of the family's 1831-position model. The record is from RNAcentral.
CACUUCUAAGGAAGGCAGCAGGCGCGCAAAUUACCCAAUCCUGACUCAGGGAGGUAGUGACAAGAAAUAACAAUAAACCGGCUUAUGCCGGUUUAAUUGGAAUGAGUACAAUUUAAACAUCUUAACGAGGAACAAUUGGAGGGCAAGUCUGGUGCCAGCAGCCGCGGUAAUUCCAGCUCCAAUAGCGUAUACUAAAGUUGUUGCAGUUAAAAAGCUCGUAGUUGGAUUUCUGUGGGGACGGAGCGGCCGGCCGCACAUCGCGGUUCGAGCUAGCGCUUUCCCUACAUCCUGCCGCGAACCGUGCUACCAUUAGUUUGGUGGCGCCGGGGAUCGGCUCGAUUACUUUGAGAAAAAUAGAGUGUUCAAAGCAGGCCACAUGCCUUGAAUAAGUUAGCAUGGAAUAAUAACUAAGGACUUCGGUUCUAUUUUGUUGGUGUUCGGGACUGAAGUAAUGAUUGAUAGGGACAGUUGGGGCGGUCUGUAUUCCAGAGCGAGAGGUGAAAUUCUUAGACCUUCGGAAGACAAACAGCUGCGAAAGCGUUCCGCAAGGAUGUUCCCUUUGAUCAAAGAACGAAAGUUGGGGGAUCGAAGACGAUCAGAUACCGUCGUAGUCUCAACUAUAAACUAUACCAGCUAGGGAUCGGCCAACGUUAUUUUAUACCGACUUGGUCGGCACCUUAUGAGAAAUCAAAGCAUCUGGGUUCCGGGGGGAGUAUGGUCGCAAGGCUGAAACUUAAAGGAAUUGACGGAAGGGCACCACCAGCCGUGGAGCCUGUGGCUUAAUUUGACUCAACACGGGAAAACUUACCAGGUCCAGACAUAGUAAGGAUUGACAGAUUGAUAGCUCUUUCUUGAUUCUGUGGGUGGUGGUGCAUGGCCGUUCUUAGUUGGUGGAGUGAUUUGUCUGGUUAAUUCCGUUAACGAACGAGACCCCAGCCUGCUAAAUAGCGCGCGUGAGCUUUGCUCGCGGCGAGCUUCUUAGAGGGACUCUGAUGCGCGAUAGCACAUGGAAGUUUGGGGCAAUAACAGGUCUGUGAUGCCCUUAGAUGUUCUGGGCCGCACACGGGCUACACUGGCGCCUGCAACGAGCAUAUCAGCUGGCCCGAGAGGGUCUUGGCUAAUCUUUUGAACCGGCGCCGUGCUUGGGAUUGACCUUUGCAAUUGUUGGUCAUGCAACGAGGAAUGCCUUGUAAACGCGAGUCAUCAGCUCGCAUUGAAUACGUCCCUGCCCUUUGUACACGCCGCCCGUCGCUCCUACCGAUGAAUGUUCCGAUGAAAUUUUCGGAGAGCACCUGUGAACUUGGCUCUGCCUUGCGAACGGGAGGCUCAAAGUCACUUAAAUCUGAACAUUUCGAGG